Molecule: long non-coding RNA, 549 nt
Organism: Gambusia affinis (western mosquitofish)
Lineage: Eukaryota; Metazoa; Chordata; Actinopteri; Cyprinodontiformes; Poeciliidae
Exons: 3
Source: RefSeq, a predicted model, not a curated record
AUCCUUUAUAAACGGGUCCUCAGCUCGUCUUGCUCAGACAUUAAUUGUGCUCCUGAAUCUGGUUUUGAUUGUUGGAAGAGGAUCAGCAGCUCUCCAGACUGCAGCCAUGCCGUCCUGUUUGGACUCAGGGUUUCUCCUCUCAGCCUCCUGCUGCAGAUCGGGACCGACGCUGCUCCUCUGGAACCGGGUCAUGACCUGGUGGACGACGUCAGCGCCAGCGCACCAUGUUGGGGACUCUGUCUGAACGGAGGUGGAAACACAUCUCCCCCUGAAGGUUGAGGUUUGGGACCAGGACCGUCUCAUCUCCUGGACUCAUUAUCCGACCCAGGGAACCCGGACAGCUGGAGGUGAAACAUUCCCUGACCUCUGACCCCGGCCUUACUGGAAGCAAAUGUGAGCUGUACCAGUAAAAUGCUUAGAGGACAGACCUCAGUCACAGUGAGGUUUAAAUAAAUGACUCAAAGGGUUUUUAUGGUGAUGAAUGUGCCGUUUUCUGAUCUGUUAAUCAGAGUGCAUGCUAGCAUUGUGAACACCUGUUUUAAACAAUCA